Molecule: ribosomal RNA, 497 nt
Filed under: uncultured bacterium
Lineage: Bacteria
Description: partial 16S ribosomal RNA
Rfam family: Bacterial small subunit ribosomal RNA
Source: RNAcentral
GAUGAACGCUGGCGGCGUGCCUAAUACAUGCAAGUCGAGCGAACGGACGAGAAGCUUGCUUCUCUGAUGUUAGCGGCGGACGGGUGAGUAACACGUGGAUAACCUACCUAUAAGACUGGGAUAACUUCGGGAAACCGGAGCUAAUACCGGAUAAUAUUUUGAACCGCAUGGUUCAAAAGUGAAAGACGGUCUUGCUGUCACUUAUAGAUGGAUCCGCGCUGCAUUAGCUAGUUGGUAAGGUAACGGCUUACCAAGGCAACGAUGCAUAGCCGACCUGAGAGGGUGAUCGGCCACACUGGAACGGGGACACGGUCCAGACUCCUACGGGAGGCAGCAGUAGGGAAUCUUCCGCAAUGGGCGAAAGCCUGACGGAGCAACGCCGCGUGAGUGAUGAAGGUCUUCGGAUCGUAAAACUCUGUUAUUAGGGAAGAACAUAUGUGUAAGUAACUGUGCACAUCUUGACGGUACCUAAUCAGAAAGCCACGGCUAACUACGUG